CGUCCACCGAACGGUCUGCAGGCGAUCCGCGUCGGUCGCGCUGGGUGGUAUGGUUCCCCAGAGGCCGGUUCUUGUGCUGCCUACCCCCUUCAGGGGAAGAGUUCCAAACUCGAUGUAAGCCUCCAUCCGGCGCCCUCCAAAGGGCGCGGGAGGACAACGKAGCACCCCCCGCGUUCCACCGAGCCUCCUCGGUCGCGUGGCCCGKGGGGACGUGUGAUGCUCUCGGACCCAGCGAACGCCGUGGGCGAGGACUCACGUCCCGGUCCCAAGUGAAGCAACGGUAUAACGCACGACGGCCGCUCCCGCCCCCCGACCGCCCCGGCGGCGCGGGGGCGAAGGCGCGGCGUCGCUGAGGAAUGCU
This 361-nucleotide unclassified non-coding RNA is filed under the name Acacia pubescens. Its description in RNAcentral is "partial external transcribed spacer". Lineage: Eukaryota; Viridiplantae; Streptophyta; Magnoliopsida; Fabales; Fabaceae. The record is from RNAcentral.